GAAGGUAUAGCUCAGCAGUAGAGCGCGUGCUUAGCCUACCUGAGGUGCUGGGUUCAAUCCCCAGUAUCUCCA
Molecule: transfer RNA, 72 nt
Filed under: Camelus bactrianus (Bactrian camel)
Lineage: Eukaryota; Metazoa; Chordata; Mammalia; Artiodactyla; Camelidae
Also listed under: 2 other names
Rfam family: tRNA
About the family: Transfer RNA (tRNA) molecules are approximately 80 nucleotides in length. Their secondary structure includes four short double-helical elements and three loops (D, anti-codon, and T loops).
Source: Rfam by way of RNAcentral